Molecule: ribosomal RNA, 433 nt
Filed under: uncultured bacterium
Lineage: Bacteria
Description: partial 16S ribosomal RNA
Rfam family: Bacterial small subunit ribosomal RNA
Source: RNAcentral
AACGAACGCUGGCGGCAUGCCUAACACAUGCAAGUCGAACGAAGCCUUCGGGCUUAGGGGCGCACGGGUGCGUAACGCGUGGGAAUCUGCCCCUUGCUUCGGAAUAACAGUUAGAAAUGACUGCUAAUACCGGAUGAAGUCUUCUGACCAAAGAUUUAUCGGCAUGGGAUGAGCCCGCGUAGGAUUAGGUAGUUGGUGGGGUAAAGGCCUACCAAGCCGACGAUCCUUAGCUGGUCUGAGAGGAUGAUCAGCCACACUGGGACUGAGACACGGCCCAGACUCCUACGGGAGGCAGCAGUGGGGAAUAUUGCACAACGGACGCAAGUCUGAUCCAGCAAUGCCGCGUGAGUGAUGAAGGCCGUAGGGUUGUAAAGCUCUUUUACCAGGGAUGAUAAUGACAGUACCUGGAGAAUAAGCUCCGGCUAACUACGUG